This 295-nucleotide long non-coding RNA is filed under the name Physcomitrium patens. RNAcentral describes it as "long non-coding RNA (PPAT_LNC001009)". The record is from RNAcentral. Lineage: Eukaryota; Viridiplantae; Streptophyta; Bryopsida; Funariales; Funariaceae.
AUAACAAAGAUAUCUUUAAAUACUAAAAAUAAAAUUCAAGAAUCUUAAUUAAAUCAUAAAUUAAAUCUUAAAUCCUAAUCAAAUCUUAAUCCUAACUAAAUCCUAAUUCUAACCAAAACUUAAUCCUAACCAAAUCUUAAUCCUAACAAAAAUCUAAUCUUAACCAAAUCUUAAUCCUCACAAAAAUCUAAUCUUAAUCAAAUCUUAAUUCUUACCAAACUCUAAUCCAAACCAAACCCUAAUUCAAACCAAAUCCUAAACCAAACCAAAUCCUAAUCCUAAUCUUAAACCAAAC